Molecule: long non-coding RNA, 638 nt
Organism: Lytechinus variegatus (green sea urchin)
Lineage: Eukaryota; Metazoa; Echinodermata; Echinoidea; Temnopleuroida; Toxopneustidae
Exons: 4
Source: RefSeq, a predicted model, not a curated record
ACAAAUUUAGCUCCUGAAGACAGUUCGGGACACCCCGCACAUAAUCAGCGUCUUCGAAUCACUCGCCGGUCGCCGUGAUUUUGCUGCGAAGCAAGGCUUGGGUAGAUCGUAAAAGUUUCUUGCAGAGUUUCGCAGGAUUCAUGGUGAGGACCUAAUCACACUGUUCAACCAAGGACUACAAAGACUGGCAGAACCCCUUUCUAGACUUCACAAAGAUAGAUGCAAAUGAGCCAAGAAAGAUGUGACAGUUUACUUCCCGGAAGCUAAGAAGAAAUUGCCAUACAGAUUCUACCAACCUUUUUCAAGGAAGACCUGGUGAUGUAUUCAUCUCAAGUGACAAGGUUGAUACGAAGCCCAUGUACAUAUGUGUAUCCUGCAAUCAAGAGGAAUCAUAUGAGCUUGUUCUGGAGGAGCAAAGAGUCUGUCAAGUCCAGGAUAAAGUGCAUGCAUUGGCUUGUUAAGUAGCUGGUUUUUAUUUUUCAUUCAGCCUAUGGCUGUGAGCCAUCAGUCAUGAAAAUUUGUGAGUUUUGCCAACUUGGAAUUCUUCAGGUGAAAGAUGCAUGUCCUGUUGAUAAAUCUGUUAUCAACCUUCUGAACAUGUUGAAGAAGAAAGUGCCCUCCAGACAAGGGAAGUAACU